This 253-nucleotide ribosomal RNA is filed under the name uncultured bacterium. Its description in RNAcentral is "partial 16S ribosomal RNA". It matches the Rfam family "Bacterial small subunit ribosomal RNA", at positions 524 to 776 of the family's 1533-position model. The record is from RNAcentral.
UACGGGGGGAGCAAGCGUUGUUCGGAUUUACUGGGCGUAAAGGGCGCGUAGGCGGCACCGCAAGUCGACUGUGAAAUCUCCGGGCUUAACUCGGAAAGGUCAGCCGAUACUGCGGGGCUAGAGUGCAGAAGGGGCAACUGGAAUUCUCGGUGUAGCGGUGAAAUGCGUAGAUAUCGAGAGGAACACCUGCGGCGAAGGCAAUCCCCUGGGCCUGCACUGACGCUCAUGCACGAAAGCGUGGGGAGCAAACAGG